UACGCAGGGGGCUAGCGUUGUUCGGCUUUACUGGGCGUAAAGCGCACGUAGGCGGAUUGUUCAGUUAGAGGUGAAAUCCCGGAGCUCAACUCCGGAACUGCCUUUAAUACUGGCAAUCUAGAGUCCGGAAGAGGUAAGUGGAACUCCUAGUGUAGAGGUGGAAUUCGUAGAUAUUAGGAAGAACACCAGUGGCGAAGGCGGCUCACUGGACCAGUAUUGACGCUGAGGUGCGAAAGCGUGGGGAGCAAACAGG
This 253-nucleotide ribosomal RNA is filed under the name uncultured bacterium. Its description in RNAcentral is "partial 16S ribosomal RNA". It matches the Rfam family "Bacterial small subunit ribosomal RNA", at positions 524 to 776 of the family's 1533-position model. The record is from RNAcentral.